ACUCUUUCUCAAAAAAAAAAGAACACCACUCCGCAGAGGGGCAGGGGACUUUGGGUGGGCGGAGGCCAAUGAGAGCGUCCAUCAGCUCCCAAGCAAGCCUGAGACCAAGGACAGAAGGCGGGCUGGGCCCCCCGACCCUUGGAGCAGCCUGGCCACAGCGCCCCAACCCAGGCCUAGCCGCACUCUCCCCCCACCCCGAAAGAGGCCCCCGCUGCCCAGCUGCCCAGCAAACAGCACACGCCAAUUCCUGCCUCUGCCUCCGCUGGCUGGGUGACCUUGGGCAGGUUAUGGAACCUCUCUGGGCCGCAGCUACCUUGUCUACAAAAUGGGGACGACAGCUAUGCUUUACUCAGGUGUUGCGAAGGUCAAGGGAGAGGCCGUGUAGAAGCGGGGCCUGCCAUGAUUGAGCACCUACUGGGUGCCAGGCCCUCUGCUGAGCCGCUGGCCCUGUUUAGGAAAGAGGCAGCCCGGGGCGCGUGGGCGUGUCCCACAGGACGCGCUCACCUGGUUGGAGCCUUCCCUGAACCAGUGUAGGAGGUCGCCAGGGGGGCAGCCCAGCUCAGCCACCGCCAACUGCCGCCCAAGGCCAGACCAGCCGCUGCCUGGUUUGGUUGCACCUUCCAACAAGGAAUGACUUUUACAUUUUUAAAUGUUUGAAAAACAAAUCGAAAGAAAAAUAGUAUUUAAUAAGCGAAAAUUAUAUGAAAUUCAAGUGUUGGUGUGCAUGAGCAGCGAUAUAGGGGCACAGCCACGUGGCUGCUUCCUCACUAAGCAGAGACCGAAAUGUCUAUUACCUGGUCCUUUUCAGAAAAAGUUUGCUGCCCUCUGGCCUGGGGGAAGCAGGGACAGAGGCCUCUGGGAAGAGAGAGUGGAACUUUCCGGGGAGCAGGGAGCUGGUGGCAGGUGUCCCGUCCGGAGGACAGACAGACAUGGAGGGCACCUGGGUGGAUGCUGGAGGCAGCUGGGCUUGCUCAGGACCUCCUCAAACACUUCCUCCCGCACGGCCCCUCGGCUGUGUGACACGCACUUUACUAAUGACCACGCUUUACCGGAACCACAGUCCACGCCAGACAGCAGGAUAAAUGGGCUCUUUCUCUGAAUCUGUGUGACCACUGCAGGACCGUGCCUGGCCCCCCGGAGUGUGUUCCUAACCCCUCUGCCAUCCCGGCUCACUCAGGCCUGUCUGUGCCCAUCUGGCAGCAGAACCGGGUGCCGGGGUUGGGGGGGGGCAGCCUGCAGCCCCCAGGCACUGUGCGGGGCAGGAGGGAGAUGCUGCUGCCUCCACUUCACAGAAGAAGAAACUGAGGCCUAGAGAGGCCUGAGGUCGCUGGGCCAGCAGGUAGUAGAUGCAAGAUUCGAACCCAGACCUCCAAGCACCCUCCACGACCCCGGCCGCCUGCAACCUGCUCCCCUCCGCUGUGGGCUGCGAAUCGGGGGACCAGGGCUCUGCAGACAGCUCUGCCUGGG
Non-coding RNA from Microcebus murinus (gray mouse lemur), 1467 nucleotides. NCBI's taxonomy places the organism in Eukaryota, Metazoa, Chordata, Mammalia, Primates, Cheirogaleidae. The record is from RefSeq and is a predicted model, not a curated record.